This 529-nucleotide ribosomal RNA is filed under the name uncultured bacterium. RNAcentral's name for it is "bacterial SSU rRNA". It matches the Rfam family "Bacterial small subunit ribosomal RNA", at positions 777 to 1304 of the family's 1533-position model. The record is from RNAcentral.
AAUAGAUACCCAGGUAGUCCACGCCGUAAACGAUGAGUGCUAAGUGUUAGAGGGUUUCCGCCCUUUAGUGCUGCAGCUAACGCAUUAAGCACUCCGCCUGGGGAGUACGGCCGCAAGGCUGAAACUCAAAGGAAUUGACGGGGGCCCGCACAAGCGGUGGAGCAUGUGGUUUAAUUCGAAGCAACGCGAAGAACCUUACCAGGUCUUGACAUCCUCUGCCAACCCUAGAGAUAGGGCGUUCCCCUUCGGGGGACAGAGUGACAGGUGGUGCAUGGUUGUCGUCAGCUCGUGUCGUGAGAUGUUGGGUUAAGUCCCGCAACGAGCGCAACCCUUGAUCUUAGUUGCCAGCAUUCAGUUGGGCACUCUAAGGUGACUGCCGGUGACAAACCGGAGGAAGGUGGGGAUGACACCAAAUCAUCAUGCCCCUUAUGACCUGGGCUACACACGUGCUACAAUGGAUGGUACAAAGAGCUGCGAACCCGCGAGGGUAAGCGAAUCUCAUAAAGCCAUUCUCAGUUCGGAUUGUAGG